Long non-coding RNA from Ceratitis capitata (Mediterranean fruit fly), 984 nucleotides. RefSeq lists it as uncharacterized. The record is from RefSeq and is a predicted model, not a curated record. NCBI's taxonomy places the organism in Eukaryota, Metazoa, Arthropoda, Insecta, Diptera, Tephritidae. The transcript is spliced from 3 exons.
GCUUUCAACUAAGAGUACUUGCUCAACUAAGAGUACUUGCUUUUACACGCCAAUAUUCUCGAAUUACAGUUGAAGUCUUAGAAACGAAUCGUGCCAUUGGUUUUUUAGUUGAUUUAGUUAUGCUGUUUAACUGAAGAUUCCGGAGAAGUUAAUUAAUGUCUUUUUUUAACGUUUCUCCCGACCAACCGCCAAAAGCGAAAACAAUUUUUAAAGUCAAAUGUCACGGGUCCUAGAUGGAGCCAAGGCGAAUUCAUAAAGCUCUUACUUUGAAAGGGAAUUUCUUAAGCAACGGCCAUUGGACGAUCUUAGGAGAUUACUAGAAUUACCGUACUUCUGCAAUUUUUGUAACUGACGCUGUGUUGGUAGUUUCAGUUUAUGUACAUAUUCAGAUGUAGACCAUUCAUCUUGUGGAGCUUGGAAGAAUAUGUACAUACAAAAAACAACGGAUUGCCGCGACAAUCUCCUCAAACAAGAUUCCCAAACAGGAGCCAAACCCAUCUUUACAGACGGCUCAAAGCUCCUUGAAAAAGCGGUUCCAAAAUUGAUUUAAAUUCUUCGAUGCACUGUUGCUGAGUGAAUCCAUCUCGAAAGUUGUAAAAUGUAAAUGUAAAUCAAAAAUACCAUACUUUAUGAUAAAGUUGUCAGUUGCCAGAUUGCAACACCAGCGGGGCAAGUCCCAAAUUAGGAAAUUUGCCCUUAAAAAUUUGCAAACUACAAAAUUUUGUGGAAUACACCCCAGUAAAGCUUCUGGGUUUACUUAAUUCCGACUCUUGCGUCCACAUCGCGCACCCUGGAAUCGUGAGCAACCUUUGUGCAAGUUGAGGUAACCAACGCGUAUGGAGGCUUGGCUCACAGCUAAAAGAGAGUUAGCUUUAGUGGAGCCAUUCCGACUUGUUCGGCUUGAGUGUUCGCUUCAGUCUAUUUACAGCGGUUGCGAGCGGGAAUUCGAAACUCGGUUUCAACGUCACCGUUGAUAAUCCUAAC